ACACGUGGGUAACCUGCCCAAGAGACUGGGAUAACACCUGGAAACAGAUGCUAAUACCGGAUAACAACACUAGACGCAUGUCUAGAGUUUGAAAGAUGGUUCUGCUAUCACUCUUGGAUGGACCUGCGGUGCAUUAGCUAGUUGGUAAGGUAACGGCUUACCAAGGCAAUGAUGCAUAGCCGAGUUGAGAGACUGAUCGGCCACAUUGGGACUGAGACACGGCCCAAACUCCUACGGGAGGCAGCAGUAGGGAAUCUUCCACAAUGGACGAAAGUCUGAUGGAGCAACGCCGCGUGAGUGAAGAAGGGUUUCGGCUCGUAAAGCUCUGUUGGUAGUGAAGAAAGAUAGAGGUAGUAACUGGCCUUUAUUUGACGGUAAUUACUUAGAAAGUCACGGCUAACUACGUGCCAGCAGCCGCGGUAAUACGUAGGUGGCAAGCGUUGUCCGGAUUUAUUGGGCGUAAAGCGAGUGCAGGCGGUUCAAUAAGUCUGAUGUGAAAGCCUUCGGCUCAACCGGAGAAUUGCAUCAGAAACUGUUGAACUUGAGUGCAGAAGAGGAGAGUGGAACUCCAUGUGUAGCGGUGGAAUGCGUAGAUAUAUGGAAGAACACCAGUGGCGAAGGCGGCUCUCUGGUCUGCAACUGACGCUGAGGCUCGAAAGCAUGGGUAGCGAACAGGAUUAGAUACCCUGGUAGUCCAUGCCGUAAAC
RNAcentral lists this ribosomal RNA (707 nucleotides) under uncultured bacterium. RNAcentral describes it as "bacterial SSU rRNA". It matches the Rfam family "Bacterial small subunit ribosomal RNA", at positions 113 to 807 of the family's 1533-position model. The record is from RNAcentral.